Carlito syrichta (Philippine tarsier) is the source of this 582-nucleotide RNA transcript. It is a transcript of the gene named transmembrane protein 208 pseudogene, with no coding region annotated. NCBI's taxonomy places the organism in Eukaryota, Metazoa, Chordata, Mammalia, Primates, Tarsiidae. The transcript has a single exon. The record is from RefSeq and is a predicted model, not a curated record.
CUGUGGUUUCGGUUGCUCUCCCUUGUUUCCCCAGCUGGGUAUUGGCAUCGCACCAUGGUGCCCAAAGGGCAAAGUGGGCACAAGAGGGAAGAAGCAGAUAUUUGAAGAGAACAGAGAAACCCUGAAGUUCUACUUGAGAAUCAUACUAGGGGCCAAUGCCAUUUACUGCCUUGUGACCUUAGUCUUUUUCUACCCAUCUGUGCCUCAUUUUGGGCCUGGAUGGCCCUGGGCUUUAGUCUGGCAAUGUAUGGGGCCCCAGCUACCACUUUAUGAGUUCAGUGGCACAGGCAGCCUUCUCUGAGUAUGGGCCUUGAUAGGUGGUGGCAUGGACCUCAACAUGGAGCAGGGCAUGGCAGAGUACCUCAAAGAUGUGAUCCUACUAACAGCCAUCGUGCAGGUGUUCAGCUGCUUCUCCUUCUACAUCUCUAGUCUUUCUGGCUUCUGGCUCCAGGCUGGGCCCUUUUCCUCCUGUGGGUGAAUGUGCUGGGCCCCUGGUUCACAGCAGACAGUGGUGCCCCAGCACCAGAGCACAAUGAGAAACGGCAGUGCUGCCAGGAGCAGCAGCAUAUGAAGCGAUUAUAG